GCAUCCAUAGCUCAGUGAUAGAGUGCUCGUCUGCCACGCGAGCGGCCUGGGUUUGAUUCACAGCCGAUGUA
This is a non-coding RNA of Ancylostoma duodenale, 71 nucleotides long. Lineage: Eukaryota; Metazoa; Nematoda; Chromadorea; Rhabditida; Ancylostomatidae. The record is from Rfam.